Lycium ferocissimum is the source of this 1353-nucleotide long non-coding RNA. RefSeq lists it as uncharacterized. NCBI's taxonomy places the organism in Eukaryota, Viridiplantae, Streptophyta, Magnoliopsida, Solanales, Solanaceae. The transcript is spliced from 3 exons. The record is from RefSeq and is a predicted model, not a curated record.
UAUCUAUCGUUGUGUGUCCGUUGGUUAGGUACAACAUGAUUGGGCGCUCAUUACGGCCAUGGUUGAGCGGUGGAGGCCAGAGACACAUACCUUCCAUCUUCGCACCAGCGAGGCCACGAUUACACUUUAGGAUAUGAAGGUCCUCUUUGGAUUGCGGAUAGAUGGAGAGCCAUUAUACACUCGGUACGAGCCUCCUCCUGGUAGUACAUGGGUGACAGAGUUGACUAGGCUCACCCACUUCGUGCCUGAUGUCGAGGGCCAGAUGUCGGGACAGAGUCGGGUAAAGAUUAGUGCGCUCUGCACUUAUUUGAUGGCAGAGGAUCCUGUAGAGGACGACACUCAACAGGACGUUGUUGAUCGUCAUGCCCGUUUGUACCUGCUUAUUAUAUUCAGGGGCAUCUUGUUCUCGAAUUGAUCGGUGCCUUUGUCACUUUACGAUAUUUGGUCUUCUUGGAGCAUCUGGACUGCUUGGGAGACUACAGCUGGGGCAGUGUUGUUUUGGCGUAUCUUUACAGAUGCCUAUGCCGAGCAUCUAUUGGUGUUGUCAGCAAUGUGUGUGGAUUUUUUGCUUUUCUCCAGUUAUGGGCGUGGGAGAGGAUGCUGCCUUUUCAGCCCGUACCUAAGCAUCACCUCAAUAUUGACAUGCCCUAUGCGAGGAGAUGGAUGGCGGGUUUUGACCAAGAUGUGGAUAUGCACCACAGUAUUCUUCUAUUCCGGGACCAGCUUGAUCACAUGACGGAUGAUGCGCCUUUUGCAAGGCAGGUCAGGGGGAUUGGAGGUCGCGGUGUCCAUUGAUACCCAAGCGCGUCUUACAAUAAUUUGGGCAUACACAGAGUAUACCUCCUGAUGUUGUCAUGAGCUCCGACACUACUAGCGGGACGAUCGGGCCGCCGUUGAUGAUGAAUUUCUGGCUUUCAUGGCUGUCCAGCUCCACCGUUGGGAGCACAGGUUGGGCACUUUAGCGGUGGUCAUCCAUUUGACUCUCAUUCGGGAUUACAUGCGCUGGUAUUAUCGGAUCACACGCCGAUUGUUCGGCAACCCAGCUUUGCGUCCCGCAAGGGAUGUAGGAUAUUCAGCACUCAUGGGGCAGCACGAGACAUUUGUAAGUUUAUUGUAUUUAGAUUUAUUUAAUUGUAUUAAUUGUUACAUUUUAAAAAUAACUUUUUUUUACUGUUGAAGACAAAUGUAGCUGGUGGCCGUACAGCAAUUACGCAUGUUGGGGUUAGAGCAUAUCCCUUACCCCGGGCUUGCGGGGCUUGCGGCAGAGAUGGUAUGGAUAUCCGAGGAUGGUAUCCGGCAAGCAGGAGAGUUUAGGUGCAUGGAGGAGCUUGUUCCAAAGGCUGAGCAUCGGCC